RNAcentral lists this ribosomal RNA (155 nucleotides) under Salmonella enterica. Its description in RNAcentral is "partial 16S ribosomal RNA". It matches the Rfam family "Bacterial small subunit ribosomal RNA", at positions 1 to 149 of the family's 1533-position model. Lineage: Bacteria; Pseudomonadati; Pseudomonadota; Gammaproteobacteria; Enterobacterales; Enterobacteriaceae. The record is from RNAcentral.
AAAUUGAAGAGUUUGAUCAUGGCUCAGAUUGAACGCUGGCGGCAGGCCUAACACAUGCAAGUCGAACGGUAACAGGAAGCAGCUUGCUGCUUUGCUGACGAGUGGCGGACGGGUGAGUAAUGUCUGGGAAACUGCCCGAUGGAGGGGGAUAACUA